Molecule: long non-coding RNA, 1467 nt
Filed under: Equus caballus (horse)
Lineage: Eukaryota; Metazoa; Chordata; Mammalia; Perissodactyla; Equidae
Description: lncRNA (ENSECAG00000055442.1)
Source: RNAcentral
GUAGAGAGUUUGACUCCUGCCUGUUGUUAGAUCUACCCAGAUCCUCACUGGCAGAGGGAUUUCUUUUCUCCAGUCCUCAUGUUUCCAUGAGAUAAAUUCCACUAGAAAAAUACAUCUGGCUUCCCUCUCCACCCCUUUCUCUCUCCUCCUCACCAUUUGAUUGAUAAGGUGGAAAGAGUCUGAUAACCAUUACCCAAAGACGUUUUAACAGACAGGAUUAAAGUGUUAACAGUUACUACUUCCACGUGGUCUCCCUCUCUCUUGAACUUCCUGCCCAUCGAGGAGAGAUGAUCCCUCAUAUUCUUGCAUCCUAGAGUGUGUGAAAUGCUUCCUUUUCCAUCUCUCCUUCAAGACCAGAGACCUCACCCAAUUUAUCUUUGUAAUUCCAGCAUUGACCACAGUGGUGCUUACACAUGUAGGUGCACAGUAAACAUUUAAUGAAUAAAAGAACAUCUGGAUUGGAUCGCAAUGUCUUUCAACACUCUACUGAUGCUCUCGGGAGAACAGGAAUAUUUUUGUGGUGAAUUUGCCUAUACCGUGCCCUUCACAGACUCAUCUAAAGGGCAAUUUGCUCUGUCUGGAAAAUAGUCAAGAACCAAGAAGUACCGACAGAGGGUCAGAUGGUCCCUCCAGUGGAGGGAGCCACACGAAGGUGGAAAACUACAUAGCGCCUGACAGAGACCACAUCUGCAAUCCCUCAACCCACACCACGGACGUAGGAGGAAUGAAUGACCCCGGAGGCUGCAUCUCCUGGUAUGUGUUUAACAUCCUCCUUCCCAGGCUGACUCUCCUUCAGAAAUGACCUCUGGAGAAAUAUUGCCCUUCAGCUCCUCAGGAAAGCAAUCUCAGCUACAUUUUCAUUCUCUCCUAACAAGAUGUUAUAAUAAAAGCUCAAAGGAAGUGGGACAAAAACUGACUAUUUUCAAGGCAUCUAGUGAGUGCCAUGACUUACUCAAAGCACGUUACACAGGUUAUUUUAUUUCACAUAACUCUGUGAGUAGUAUAAUUAUGCUCAUCGAGCUCAUGGGGAAACUGAGGCACUGUCAGGUUAGGUCACUUGCCCAGCUGGUGAGUGGCAGAAGCAGUGUUUGAAUCCCAGGCCUCCUGAACACUGCAUACUGUCUGUUUCCACAAUACCACUUGGCACCCUCUAAAACUAUUCCCAUGACCAUUGUUUCUGGGAUGUUGCCAAAUGCAAUGACCUCAACACCAUCAGGCAGAAGAGCCCAGCCCAGGAGGUAAUGAGAGAGAAAAUGCCAAAGACACAUGGAGGGCAAUGGGCAGGUAGUCAAUGGGAUUCUUAAGUGAAUUCACAGGCAAUCACAAAAGCCUGCUGGGUACAAAGAUAACUUGGGAACAUCUUGGGGACCAGAUGGCUGGAGUGGAUCCCCCAAGGACAGCCAUGAUCUCAGACUCAGUAAUUACUAUGUUCCCAAAGGAGAUCCAGAGGACAGUCAUAAAAGGACC